AAGGUCGGGAGGCAUUUGAUGUGGUGUUUCAUCCGUAUGGUGAUCGACAAGACAGCUUCUACGACUGAAGCUGUUCCUAGGGCUAAGACUGCUUUUGAGGUAUGAUGAAAGCAUCAAGAGAAGAAGGUCAGCAGGAGUGGAUGUUUCCAGCCUACGCCGGGACUGGGAGCACACAACAAUGUAGCAAUAACAACACAGGGCAGUGACAUGCACUUCACCAGUAGCACAGUACUACUAUUCAGCCAGACUGAAGUCAGGGGUGAUGAAGACGAUGCUGCCUUUGGUGUGCUGGAACUGUGGUGAGGAGGAAACGCUGCCCAUACUGGCAGAGAAGACUGCUGCAUACCAGACAAUAAACCCUGUUUGUCAGGUAGGCAUACAUUUGUUACCUACUUAAAUACAUUACGCAACUUAUGUAGAAUAGCUCUAAACAUAUUUUGUUUGGUUCCACCUUUAUUGAUAUUCUUUCUCAAACGCUCCUAUAGACUAUUUGCAUAGGUAGAAAUGUAGUAAUGCAUGCAAAGGGUUAAUCAGCAACUAAUUUUGCCUUUUAUGCUUUGUUUCUGCAGGUCUGCAAAAUGUGAU
Branchiostoma belcheri (Belcher's lancelet) is the source of this 585-nucleotide long non-coding RNA. RefSeq lists it as uncharacterized. The transcript has 3 exons. Lineage: Eukaryota; Metazoa; Chordata; Leptocardii; Amphioxiformes; Branchiostomatidae. The record is from RefSeq and is a predicted model, not a curated record.